This 74-nucleotide transfer RNA is filed under the name Noviherbaspirillum autotrophicum. Its description in RNAcentral is "Herbaspirillum sp. TSA66 tRNA". It matches the Rfam family "tRNA". From Rfam's summary of the family: Transfer RNA (tRNA) molecules are approximately 80 nucleotides in length. Their secondary structure includes four short double-helical elements and three loops (D, anti-codon, and T loops). RNAcentral also lists the same sequence under 5 other names. The record is from Rfam by way of RNAcentral. Lineage: Bacteria; Pseudomonadati; Pseudomonadota; Betaproteobacteria; Burkholderiales; Oxalobacteraceae.
CGGGGCGUAGCGCAGCCUGGUAGCGCACCUGAUUUGGGAUCAGGUGGUCGGACGUUCGAAUCGUCUCGCCCCGA